CUCACAAAAUGGCGGCGCCCAUAGAGGAGACCGCGGCCGCCUCCCCGGCCCCAUUUUGUGGGAGGCGAGAGAUCUGUCAACAUGGAAAACCUCUGCUGAGGAUGCAUUCGAGUUUGGAAACCCCACUUAAGGGAUGGAGCCUGGGGGAUCACAUUAAACGGAAAAUGCCAACGACUUCUACCACCUCUACGCGUUUUUAGUUUUUCAUUUUCUCGAAGGAAGCGCCAGAAGCCUGUGGAGUAAUUGUAACUAGAGGGAGAACGGAAAGCUGAGGUGACUGCUCCGGGGACUUGGCGCGGCGCCUUGAUGGUUUUGGUUGCUCUUCCACGCUCCCGGCAGCUGACCAGAAUCUCUUGGAGGGUCUCCUGGGCCACCUCGGCCGCGCCAGUCGUGCAGUGAGAAUUCUGUAGUUUUAAAAUGCCACAGUCCACGGCCCGGUCGGCACCGAUCGCCUGAAUCGUGGGCUUUGGGAACCUUGGAGGCUACUGCUCCAGGAACUCGCGGUCGGCCGGGAGCCGGGGAGCUUCGUUGCCGGGAGCGGGCGGUAUUCGCGGACUCCGGCGGCCCUGGCGGGUCGCGGCCGGGAUCCGAGCCGGGGAUGACGAUGCUGAUGGAGCUGAUGGGGCAAGAGUGGGAACGGAGGCACGUACACUGAAAUUUAAGUCAUCCAAGUUGGGACUUAAGAUAGCAGGUUUCCUGCCUCAUCUGCCAGAGACUUCUUGUAGUUCUUCAGAAUUUACUGGAUGUGCUAAAGAGCAUUUAAGUACACAUUUACAAAAUGAAGGAACUCCACUGCUGUG
Molecule: long non-coding RNA, 800 nt
Filed under: Pan troglodytes (chimpanzee)
Lineage: Eukaryota; Metazoa; Chordata; Mammalia; Primates; Hominidae
Description: long non-coding RNA NONPTRT003500
Source: RNAcentral